Molecule: long non-coding RNA, 287 nt
Filed under: Panax ginseng (ginseng)
Lineage: Eukaryota; Viridiplantae; Streptophyta; Magnoliopsida; Apiales; Araliaceae
Description: long non-coding RNA (PGIN_LNC004419)
Source: RNAcentral
AAAAACCAAUCCUCAGUUACCCCCUAUCACAGCUGAAGGAAACUUUGUCAUAGAUCCAUUAAGUAUACUAAAAGAAAGGCGGGAAUACAGGAGUAACAGGGUGGUGUAUCAAUACUUAAUCCAAUGGAAAGGAAACAACAUUGAAGAGGCAACUUGGGAAGAUGAAGACCUCCUUAAAUUGAAUUUUCCAAACUUUGCACUUAAUCCAUGAGGUCAUGGAAAGUUUUAAAGGAGGGGAGAUUGUUAAGUAGAGCAGUAUCUAGAAAGGGUAACAUAGUAAUUAGCAG